CCCGCCAGACCUGACUGCUAUCGGAUUGAUACUAAGCCAUGCGAGUCGUUGUAGCAAUACAAGGCAUACGGCUCAGUAACGCGUAGUCAACCUAACCUAUGGACGGGAAUAACCUCGGGAAACUGAGAAUAAUGCCCGAUAGAACAUUAUGCCUGGAAUGGUUUAUGUUCCAAAUGAUUUAUCGCCAUAGGAUGGGACUGCGGCCUAUCAGUUUGUUGGUGAGGUAAUGGCCCACCAAGACUAUUACAGGUACGGGCUCUGAGAGGAGUAGCCCGGAGAUGGGUACUGAGACACGGACCCAGGCCCUAUGGGGCGCAGCAGGCGAGAAAACUUUGCAAUGUGCGAAAGCACGACAAGGUUAAUCCGAGUGAUUUCUGCUAAAGAGAUCUUUUGUUAGUCCUAGAAACACUAACGAAUAAGGGGUGGGCAAGUUCUGGUGUCAGCCGCCGCGGUAAAACCAGCACCUCAAGUGGUCAGGAUGAUUAUUGGGCCUAAAGCAUCCGUAGCCGGCUCUGUAAGUUUUCGGUUAAAUCUGUACGCUCAACGUACAGGCUGCCGGGAAUACUGCAGAACUAGGGAGUGGGAGAGGUAGACGGUACUCGGUAGGAAGUGGUAAAAUGCUUUGAUCUAUCGAUGACCACCUGUGGCGAAGGCGGUCUACCAGAACACGUCCGACGGUGAGGGAUGAAAGCUGGGGGAGCAAACCGGAUUAGAUACCCGGGUAGUCCCAGCUGUAAACUAUGCAAACUCAGUGAUGCAUUGGCUUGUGGCCAAUGCAGUGCUGCAGGGAAGCCGUUAAGUUUGCCGCCUGGGAAGUACGUACGCAAGUAUGAAACUUAAAGGAAUUGGCGGGGGAGCACCACAAGGGGUGAAGCCUGCGGUUCAAUUGGAUUCAACGCCGGAA
Molecule: ribosomal RNA, 904 nt
Filed under: uncultured archaeon
Lineage: Archaea
Description: bacterial SSU rRNA
Rfam family: Archaeal small subunit ribosomal RNA
Source: RNAcentral